RNAcentral lists this small nuclear RNA (182 nucleotides) under Pogona vitticeps (central bearded dragon). RNAcentral's name for it is "U2 spliceosomal RNA (ENSPVIG00000012471.1)". It matches the Rfam family "U2 spliceosomal RNA". Rfam says of the family: U2 is a small nuclear RNA (snRNA) component of the spliceosome (involved in pre-mRNA splicing). The record is from Rfam by way of RNAcentral. Lineage: Eukaryota; Metazoa; Chordata; Lepidosauria; Squamata; Agamidae.
UUAACAUCGUAAUGCGAGGAACCACUGUAUCUGUUCUUACCAAUUUAAUAUCUGAUACAACCUUUAUUUGAGGACUAUAUAUUAAAUGGAUUUGAGGGGCUGGGAAGUGGAAGAGGGAACUACUCCAUCCAUUCCAAACAUUGACCUGAUAUUGCAGUAUCUCCCGGAACAGUGCACCUCUC